UCAUUCCAUAGCUCAGUUGGUAGAGCAUGAGACUCUAAAUCUCAAGCUCACGAGUUCAAGCCCCACGUUGGACAGAA
This is a non-coding RNA of Podarcis lilfordi (Lilford's wall lizard), 77 nucleotides long. Lineage: Eukaryota; Metazoa; Chordata; Lepidosauria; Squamata; Lacertidae. The record is from the annotation of a GenBank genome assembly.